Molecule: unclassified non-coding RNA, 375 nt
Filed under: uncultured Frankiales bacterium
Lineage: Bacteria; Bacillati; Actinomycetota; Actinomycetes; Frankiales
Description: contains 16S-23S intergenic spacer region
Source: RNAcentral
UCCGAGUUGACCCCGGCAGUCUCCUAUGAGUCCCCGCCAUAACGCGCUGGCAACAUAGAACGAGGGUUGCGCUCGUUGCGGGACUUAACCCAACAUCUCACGACACGAGCUGACGACAACCAUGCACCACCUGUACACCGCCCUUGCGGACCCCAUAUCUCUAUGAGUUUUCGGUGUAUGUCAAGCCUUGGUAAGGUUCUUCGCGUUGCGUCGAAUUAAGCCACAUGCUCCGCUGCUUGUGCGGGCCCCCGUCAAUUCCUUUGAGUUUUAACCUUGCGGCCGUACUCCCCAGGCGGAUGACUUAACGCGUUAGCUGCGCCACCGAAACCCUAAGGGCCCCGACAGCUAGUACUCAUCGUUUACGGCGUGGACUAC